GAACGCUAGCGGCAGGCUUAACACAUGCAAGUCGAGGGGCAGCAUGAGACGGAGAUUCGUCGAAGUCUUGAUGGCGACCGGCGCAAGGGUGCGUAACGCGUGAGCAACUUGCCCGUUUCUGGGGAAUAACCGGUGGAAACGCCGACUAAUACCCCAUAGUAUUGAGUUUAGGCAUCUUUACUCAAUUAAAGAAUUUCGGAAACGGAUAGGCUCGCGUGACAUUAGCUGGAUGGCGGGGUAACGGCCCACCAUGGCAACGAUGUCUAGGGGUUCUGAGAGGAAGGUCCCCCACACUGGAACUGAGACACGGUCCAGACUCCUACGGGAGGCAGCAGUGAGGAAUAUUGGUCAAUGGUCUGACGACUGAACCAGCCAUGCCGCGUGAAGGUCACGGCCCUAUGGGUCUUAAACUUCUUUUGUAAGGGAGCAAUAAGUCUCACGUGUGGGAUGAUGAGAGUACCUUACGAAUAAGCAUCGGCUAACUCCGUG
Molecule: ribosomal RNA, 489 nt
Filed under: uncultured bacterium
Lineage: Bacteria
Description: bacterial SSU rRNA
Rfam family: Bacterial small subunit ribosomal RNA
Source: RNAcentral